Molecule: ribosomal RNA, 492 nt
Filed under: uncultured bacterium
Lineage: Bacteria
Description: partial 16S ribosomal RNA
Rfam family: Bacterial small subunit ribosomal RNA
Source: RNAcentral
AGUGAACGCUGGCGGUAGGCCUAACACAUGCAAGUCGAACGGCAGCACAGUAAGAGCUUGCUCUUACGGGUGGCGAGUGGCGGACGGGUGAGGAAUACAUCGGAAUCUACUUUUUCGUGGGGGAUAACGUAGGGAAACUUACGCUAAUACCGCAUACGACCUACGGGUGAAAGCAGGGGAUCUUCGGACCUUGCGCGAUUGAAUGAGCCGAUGCCGGAUUAGCUAGUUGGCGGGGUAAAGGCCCACCAAGGCGACGAUCCGUAGCUGGUCUGAGAGGAUGAUCAGCCACACUGGAACUGAGACACGGUCCGGACUCCUACGGGAGGCAGCAGUGGGGAAUAUUGGACAAUGGGCGCAAGCCUGAUCCAGCCAUACCGCGUGGGUGCAGAAGGCCUUCGGGUUGUAAAGCCCUUUUGUUGGGAAAGAAAAGCAGCAGGUUAAUACCCCGCUGUUCUGACGGUACCCAAAGAAUAAGCACCGGCGAACUUCGUG